Molecule: ribosomal RNA, 253 nt
Filed under: uncultured bacterium
Lineage: Bacteria
Description: partial 16S ribosomal RNA
Rfam family: Bacterial small subunit ribosomal RNA
Source: RNAcentral
UACGUAGGGGGCAAGCGUUGUCCGGAUUUAUUGGGCGUAAAGAGCGCGUAGGCGGCCUGUCACGUCUGCUGUGAAAACUCGAGGCUCAACCUCGAGAUGUCGGCGGAAACCGUCUGGCUAGAGUCCGGAAGAGGAGAGUGGAAUUCCUGGUGUAGCGGUGAAAUGCGCAGAUAUCAGGAAGAACACCUAUGGCGAAGGCAGCUCUCUGGGACGGUACUGACGCUGAGACGCGGAAGCGUGGGGAGCGAACAGG